AGAAACAGUUUAUCCAGUAUAACAAUUUGAUUUAUAUACAAAUCUUCAAGGCUCCUAAGAUGAAUUCUAAGAGGGUCACGACUGUGACUGUUUGUACUCACAGUGAAGCUCAAUAUUUGAUGCAACCGUCAGCCAAGAAAAAGGUGAAAAACUCACCAUCGCUGAACAUUUCAUCAUCUGUAAGCUGCCCACCCUUAGCAUAAAGGACUCCAAAUUUAAAAUUCACAGGUCCCUGAGAAAUAAAACCAAAUGCAUGAAUUUCUGGAGCUGCGCAGCAUGCCACGGAGUGCCAAAUGCAGUCUGUCUGAGGCACACUGAGCUGACACGGAGGUCACAUCUGAUGCACCUUUCCAUCAUUGCUUAUGCUAGGUCA
This is a long non-coding RNA of Falco peregrinus (peregrine falcon), 373 nucleotides long. RefSeq lists it as uncharacterized. Lineage: Eukaryota; Metazoa; Chordata; Aves; Falconiformes; Falconidae. The transcript has 2 exons. The record is from RefSeq and is a predicted model, not a curated record.